This 253-nucleotide ribosomal RNA is filed under the name uncultured bacterium. RNAcentral describes it as "partial 16S ribosomal RNA". It matches the Rfam family "Bacterial small subunit ribosomal RNA", at positions 524 to 776 of the family's 1533-position model. The record is from RNAcentral.
UACGGAGGGUGCAAGCGUUAUCCGGAUUCACUGGGUUUAAAGGGUGCGUAGGUGGGCAGGUAAGUCAGUGGUGAAAUCUCCGGGCUUAACCCGGAAACUGCCGUUGAUACUAUCUGUCUUGAAUAUAGUGGAGGUGAGCGGAAUAUGUCAUGUAGCGGUGAAAUGCUUAGAUAUGACAUAGAACACCCAUCGCGAAGGCAGCUCGCUACACUAUCAUUGACACUGAGGCACGAAAGCGUGGGGAUCAAACAGG